Molecule: ribosomal RNA, 114 nt
Organism: Cercocebus atys (sooty mangabey)
Lineage: Eukaryota; Metazoa; Chordata; Mammalia; Primates; Cercopithecidae
Source: Ensembl
ACUCACAGCUGUCCCACCCUGAAAGCACUAGUCUGAUGGUAGAAGCUAAGCAGAGUUAGGCCCCAGCUAGUCCUUGAAUGAAAGAUCACCUGGGAAUUCUGGGGGCUGUAGGGU